AAACGACUCUCGGCAACGGAUAUCUCGGCUCACGCAUCGAUGAAGAACGUAGCAAAAUGCGAUACUUGGUGUGAAUUGCAGAAUCCCGUGAACCAUCGAGUUUUUGAACGCAAGUUGCGCCCGAAGCCAUCCGGUUGAGGGCACGCCUGCCUGGGCGUCACG
RNAcentral lists this ribosomal RNA (162 nucleotides) under Taraxacum serotinum. RNAcentral describes it as "5.8S ribosomal RNA". It matches the Rfam family "5.8S ribosomal RNA". Rfam says of the family: 5.8S ribosomal RNA (5.8S rRNA) is a component of the large subunit of the eukaryotic ribosome. RNAcentral also lists the same sequence under 23 other names. The record is from RNAcentral. Lineage: Eukaryota; Viridiplantae; Streptophyta; Magnoliopsida; Asterales; Asteraceae.